Molecule: long non-coding RNA, 1182 nt
Organism: Trachymyrmex septentrionalis
Lineage: Eukaryota; Metazoa; Arthropoda; Insecta; Hymenoptera; Formicidae
Exons: 3
Source: RefSeq, a predicted model, not a curated record
GCUGAAGUUGGUUUAGCGCAUUUGUGAUGUUCCACUGUCUUAACCUUUAUUACGUGUAUUUGCCUCGGUUAAAAAUGAAUCUCCGAUUUUGGGCGUUCAAUCAAUUUAAUUGAAGUUUACGAUCGUGAGAAAUUGUUUGAAAAAUUUCGCACGUUCCGCAAUAAUGUACUCUCUUCUAAGGUUAUUAUAUUAUUGUGUGCUUCGUGCAUUGAAUUGAGGAAAGAAAUAUUGCAUUUUAUGUAAUAAAUCGGAAAGGAAUUUCAAAGUUUGUAUAUAAUAUGACCUUUGCACAUAUAUUAUCGUCAUCAAAUGAUGAAGAUUUUGCUAAUAUUAUAAAUCAAAGACCAAAUAAUUUUAGAAGAUGACAUUUUCAUUUUUAUGAGUUAGAUGAUGUAGAUUUUCAUGUAGAUUUUCACGCUGGGUUCCGAUUAUUAAAAGAAUACGUUAUAGAAAUCUUGGAAAUUAUCGAACUCGAAAUUUUACAUCCAACAGAAUGGUAAUUUUUCUGAAGUGAACAAAACGAGCUCAUAGAAUUGUUCACUCCGUAACACAAAUACUAUUGUUCAUCUUCGGCCAAGAUAUAUUAAAUUUCCUACUCUUGCGGAUGAAAUAAAAGCCAAGCAAAUACAGUUUUUUGAUAUUGCACGAUUUCUGAGAAUUGUGGGCUGCAUAGAUUGCAUUCAUGUAAAAAUCCAGUCAUUUGCUCGUUGGCCAGGUUCGGUGCAUGACACCAUGAUUUUCAACAAUUCCAGGAUACAUGCUCUAUUUGAGACUGGAACAUUUGGAGAUGCUUUGAUCUUAAGUGAUGGUGGUUAUUCUGUUUGAUCUUAUUUAAUGACCUCUAUGCAACACAAAAAAUCAUGCUCAGGAACUCUAUAACGAAUCGUUUAUUAAAACACGCAAUACUAUAUGAGCACGUGUUUGGAAAAGAAGAUUUCCAAUUUUAGCACUGGGUUCUCGAUUUGCUAAAGUCGAGAGAGUACUACCAAUCAUUGUAGCAACUGCCAUAUUACAAUACAUAACAUUAUUCGGCGUGCUGGAGAUCUAUUACCUGAUGAUCCUGUGUUACAGUUACCUUGGAAAGAAAUUUUGGAUCAGGGAAAUACCACUAAUGAAUAAUGCAUCCGAUAAUCAUAUGUAGAACAUAUUAACAACAAUUAUUUCCGUAGAUAAGAAUAGAAA